Molecule: long non-coding RNA, 2413 nt
Organism: Misgurnus anguillicaudatus (oriental weatherfish)
Lineage: Eukaryota; Metazoa; Chordata; Actinopteri; Cypriniformes; Cobitidae
Source: RefSeq, a predicted model, not a curated record
UCACAAACCUAGUGUGGAAUUUGAUGUUGUUUAAAUGUAUUCUACUAAUCGUAUCGUUAUAAUUCAGCUUAUGUGUGCUUUUGCGGGAUUGAUUCCUGUGCUGAGGAUAUGGGAGCUGUCUGUGUGUGGAGGGUUGCUGGGGGGAGGUAGCUUGAGUGAAGGAAUUUGCAGCUGGUGAUGGCCGAGAUAAGAGCAAAACUUGAAGGAGAAAACACACAGACAAAGAAGUGCAUGCUUUUGAUAUUAGUUCAAUGGCAAUCAUUCAUUUCCAGAUUGUUACAUGUAGAGGUGUUUGGAUUUAUAAAAUUAUAUGUUGCUAUGAAUAUUAAUGUGUUAAAAUAUAUAAAUGAUUAUGCCUUUGUGCCCAUGACUAAUGUAGAAGAUUGCCCUGUAAUAAGACAUUGCCAUAUAGGGAUGAAAUGCUCGAGGGCACAAAGUGUGUGUGUGUGUGUGUGUGUGUGUGUGUGUGUGUGUGAGCCGGGGGGCUGUAAAAAGCCCUGGAGGGAAAACACCCAGAACAGAUGGUUUCAAUAAACAAGUUGCUUGCUUUAUAACUGUGUUACAUUUAGAGAAAGUGAAAAUUAGUAUGUUUAACUAAUGAAUGCAUUUAACCAAUUUAUGAACAAUGGAGUAUUGUUGUGUUGUUGAAUAAUGUUUUACAUAUUUACUGCCUACAUUUCAUGAUGAUUGCUAAAAGUGCUAAAGUUACAAAGAUGUCCAAAUAAGGACAUAAUGCCCCAGGGAACAGAAUGGUCUGUGUAUGUCUUUCUGUCUGUUUGCUAUGCAACCCCCCACAGGUAUGUGGUGAUGGAAUCUGAUAAGGAAAACAGCCAUCUGGGGGAGGAGAAUGUUGAAGAAAGAACGACGAUAAAUACUCAUGUGUUUGUCCUGAGCUGGGAGUUGUUGGUCGAAUCUUGCUGUUAAGACUUGAGACAACCCGGCAUGCUGUAACUUUUUCAUAUCUGAUCAAUAAAUAUUCAAUUUAGAUAUUUGUGUCUUUCUCCAUUGAUGAACAUGCUUUGGACGCCUUAAAGUCCAACAAUUGGUGAUCCCCGACGUUGUUGGAGGGAAAAGAAGAUUAAGAGAAGUUUCGAAUUGCUUAAAGAGCACCUAUUAUGAGAUACACGUUUUUAAACAUCCUUUUGUGUGUAAGUGUGUAUUAGUACAUGCUAACGAUAUUCAAAAAGUACAUACCUCAAAGAAAACGAUGACGCGAGUUAUCGUCUCUAACGUUCGAGGACUACAAAAAACACUCGGAUUGUAGGCAACAGUUUACUUCCUGGGAUUAGUGACGUAGAGAAGACCAACAUUAUCAUAGUUCAGCCCUCUCUGCUUCGCUUGGGUACGCCCUCAAAGACGGGGGUGGAGAGCGCUGAGUCAGAAGAGAGCUAAAAUGGCGGAGGUUGGGAGUCCCUGCUUUGACCCUGUUUGCAAACUCUUGUUUCAUCAUUUAAGCAAUUAAAUCUCUCGAGUAGACGCUGUCUCUUUAGAUGCAAGGGCAAAAUAGCACUUUAUGGACUUACACAGAGGACAUCAUGUUUAAUACGGUUCCGGAAAAAUCCAGUCAGAAGUUGUUCACGGAGUUUUCACAAUAACUGCUUCUUAUGAACCGAAGCUGGAUUUGCGCGACGUUUCCUCUUGAAAGUUGGAUUACCGUGCACUUCUGGAUCACAGGCUAUUCGCAGCUGGACACAUCCUUCUACACUGUAUGCAAACAUGCACAUCAUUACACACAGUACAAGGAGUCAGACUGGCAUAUGAGGAGCAAAGGAACCCAGGCAGUAGCAUCGUUUCACAAUGUUUCAAUCACCAUCAUCAGUGGAUGCCUUUGCCGUCCGUAGCCUGAGAUUUCAGAUUUGCAGCAAAAAAAUGUGACUUUCCCAUUUAUUGGAAUGCUGUGCAGGUUGUACCUUGGAGCCAUCCAUUACAAUGUCACCAAGCCGUAACAAAAGCAGGAGAGGGAAAGUACAAGGCUAUGUUCCCAAAACACACAAGUGACAUACUUUAUGUGGAUGAUGUGAUCAGGCUUGUGUUUGAUGAGGUAUUUGAAGAUAAGCUGAAGGAAACCCUGAUUCCAAUGGACCUCGCAUCACAGUUUGAGAGACCUUCAAAGGAGGACGUGAUUGCAUGCCAUCUUCAGUGCAGGGGUCGUCGGAAGCCAACAUUCCGAUCAGGAAGCUCCAAGCAUAUCUGGAGAACAACACACGACAGGAUGAUAACCCUAAAAUGUCGUCUUAGAUAGCAUCAGCUGACAAAGCUUUGAUAUGCCAUUUAUCUGAAUAGAUAGCUGUAAGAAGUGAAUUGAACAAUUUUUGAAAGAAGAGCACAAUAUGGUUACUAAAGUAUGUUUAUUUGUAUAUUGUUUAACAUUUAAAUAUAUAUUUGUAAUAAAUAAACUUUUGACUGACUACUA